GUGUCAGCAGCCGCGGUAAUACGAAGGGGGCUAGCGUUGCUCGGAAUUACUGGGCGUAAAGGGCGCGUAGGCGGAUAUUUAAGUCGGGGGUGGAAGCCCGGGGCUCAACCUCGGAAUUGCCUUCGAUACUGGAUAUCUUGAGUUCGGGAGAGGUGAGUGGAAUGCCGAGUGUAGAGGUGAAAUUCGUAGAUAUUCGGCGGAACACCAGUGGCGAAGGCGGCUCACUGGCCCGAUACUGACGCUGAGGCACGAAAGCGUGGGGAGCAAACAGGAUUAGAAACCCCCGUAGUCC
This 292-nucleotide ribosomal RNA is filed under the name uncultured bacterium. RNAcentral's name for it is "partial 16S ribosomal RNA". It matches the Rfam family "Bacterial small subunit ribosomal RNA", at positions 505 to 796 of the family's 1533-position model. The record is from RNAcentral.